RNAcentral lists this ribosomal RNA (387 nucleotides) under uncultured bacterium. RNAcentral's name for it is "bacterial SSU rRNA". It matches the Rfam family "Bacterial small subunit ribosomal RNA", at positions 29 to 416 of the family's 1533-position model. The record is from RNAcentral.
AUUGAACGCUGGCGGAAUGCUUUACACAUGCAAGUCGAACGGCAGCACGGGGGCAACCCUGGUGGCGAGUGGCGAACGGGUGAGUAAUACAUCGGAACGUGCCCAAUCGUGGGGGAUAACGUAGCGAAAGCUACGCUAAUACCGCAUACGAUCUACGGAUGAAAGCGGGGGAUCGCAAGACCUCGCGCGAAUGGAGCGGCCGAUGGCAGAUUAGGUAGUUGGUGGGGGUAAAGGCUCACCAAGCCGACGAUCUGUAGCUGGUCUGAGAGGACGACCAGCCACACUGGGACUGAGACACGGCCCAGACUCCUACGGGAGGCAGCAGUGGGGAAUUUUGGACAAUGGGCGCAAGCCUGAUCCAGCCAUUCCGCGUGCAGGAUGAAGGCC